This 227-nucleotide long non-coding RNA is filed under the name Setaria italica (foxtail millet). Its description in RNAcentral is "long non-coding RNA (SITA_LNC004365)". Lineage: Eukaryota; Viridiplantae; Streptophyta; Magnoliopsida; Poales; Poaceae. The record is from RNAcentral.
UCCUUCUCUUUUCUCAUUUAAUUGCUUGACUCAUGAAAGUUCAUUUUUCUAUUUGGAAUUGCAUGCAAGGUAUAAGAUAUAAGCCAAGGUGGAGCGUUGUUUGUGAUUUUAGACGUGUAAGCCAAGGUAUCUGAUGAGCAAGGCUAUAUAGCACAGGUCCAAGAUAAAAUGUUAACUUUGUUAUAGUGAAGGUACUAAGGUAGAUCCCUAUCCAUCAUGGAGUAAUC